Molecule: long non-coding RNA, 8919 nt
Organism: Alligator mississippiensis (American alligator)
Lineage: Eukaryota; Metazoa; Chordata; Crocodylia; Alligatoridae
Exons: 7
Source: RefSeq, a predicted model, not a curated record
CAGGCACUUGGGAAGUUUACUGGCCUGAAAGUUGGUGAAUUCUGGGUACCAAGGAUAUAAAUAAGCAAUGCGGCUAAAAAGAGAGAAAAAAAAAAGGAAAGAAUAUAGGACAAAGCAUUAAGCAAAGUCCAGAAAUACCCUGAGGCCUGAGCAUCCACAUGUCAAAGCCAAAAUCAAGCUUUCAAGGGAAAUCUAAGAAACAGAAGCAAAAGAGAUAAGAAAGCCCUGUGAAGCACUGAUGGUGACAGCCCAUCUGACUUCAGUUCAUCUGAGACCUUCCUAUUGUGGAUUUUUCUCACCUUCACAUAAAAGGGUUGGCAGCAGGCAAACUUAUGGUUUCCUUCAUCACUAAAUCCACAAGUCUGAUCUGGCUGUGGAAAUCUGCAGUGAGGACUGGAAAGAAGAAAAUAUUGCCUGUUGCAGAAAUGCAAUGGGUAGCACCAACCUAAAUCUCCACCUUGACCUCAGGAAAGAAGCCAGAGCUUAAUGAUACAGAACUUGAAUUUUAAUAAGAAGAAGCUUCUUCCUGAGUCAUGAAUUUCUUCCCCUGACUGGGCUGGAAAUACUGUGCGGAUACCUUCACCCUGUCAGCAUUUCCACAUCAAGUCUUGGAAUCUGGAAAGUGAUGCGAAGGAACGCAAAACAAUGGUUUGAGAUACCAAAUAUAUGAGUCGAGUCUACAGAAGAGCGGCCUGUAGUUGGAAUAUAAUCCAUAGUUCCAGGAACAAAAACAGGAGGUGGAAGGCAGAAACAGCAGCAGAAACAGUGUGUCACAGACCAAAUCAAGAACCCAGCGCCACCCACCCCACAUGAAAACAUGUCUGAGCUGCAGUAGAGUCUGCUGAUCCUGGAUAGGCCUCAUGAGCUAUCUUUGGACACACAGAUAAGACAGUCAUGCAAGACAACCAUCCUUGACUGCAAGGGAUUGCCGAAGAAGACUACAGACCUUACCCUGAUGCAAGAUUCUUUCCUUUGGUAGGGAGGGGCUAAAAAGGAGGGAUUGGUUAGGCACCCCAUUCAUAAAGUGAAAUUUUGGGGCUCGGUUCUCACCUAACACUUCUUUCCAGAGUGAGUAAUCGUAGUUAUUCAGUAUCUUCUCACACACAGACUAGAGUGCAUUCCCCGUGAUUAAUGUUGUUCUUUUCAGUGGAGAACUUUAUGGCCCAUGUUCUCUGGGCUGCUCCAAGGUGUCUACGCUGAUAUCCCAAUUUCAUUUCUGGGAUUUGGUACAUGUGGAAUGGGUGGGUGGCUGGAUUGCUAUGUCUUGGCUCUGCUCCCAGGCCUGGCCUUUAAGUUAUAUGCAUGAGCCCCAUGUGUGUCUGUGUAUAUUGUAUUCAGCUUCUACACUAUUAGCCCCUGGUUGCAUUUCCCUAGGGAACUACCACAUUCCAUUUCUUUUUCUUAUCAAAGCUAAGGACAUUCCUCCAUCGUGAGUUAAAUUUAGUAGUGCUGUCUAGCAGCAACACACUUUCCUGUUCAAUCAAAUAUAUCCCCUAUUUUGUGUGUAUUGGUAGAACUGUUUCAAUGGACAAUACAUUGCUUCAUACCUGACCUAAAUCACCAUACACUUGUGCCAGCUGCACUCCUUCCCUUUCCUCUAUUUUAGAUCUGUUGAGGGUCAUAGGAAAUGUUCUAGUGCCCCUGAAUCAACCAGAAUUUUCAGCACUUCCCUUAACAUACCUCACGUUACCCAGAGAGUCCCUAAUACCUCCUUUUGAGCUGAUUAUGAUUUUUUUUGCACCUAUCUGAUUCCAUACAGGCACCAAGGAUCCAGUAUUAGUGGUUAUUCUGUGGAAGAGGAGGAUGGAAUACUGCCCUGUGGACAUGAAAAGCAACGCAACAGCUUAGUAAUGGUUAAAAAUGAUAGGCAGGGUGAGGGCAGGCCCUGAAGGGUCAGGUAGGGGUGGGAAUAGAGCCUGCCUGUACUGGCCCUGGUCAGCAGGUCGGGGUGCAACAGCAGCCUCUGAGGAGGCUGCCAAACUGCCCCUCUCCUAGCUCCACACCACCUUGCCCAGCUCCGGGGCUGUCAGCAGGAAGGAAGAGGGAGAAGGGAAGGGGAAGCAAGCAGUAUUGAGCUGCAGCUGGGCUUUGCCCAGCCUGAGCUGGGGGGGCGUGGAUCAGAAUCGUGUCAUCUCCCCCCCACCCCCACCCCCCAUGGCUCCCCUCCUGUGAAAAAUGUAACUUGUGUAAGAGCCCUUAGUCUGUGCAAAUACAGACCUCAGGAAUCCUUUUGGAGGCAUCCCAGUGCAGCUUUCACCAGAACUCGAUAAGGAAGUUUGAGAUUCUAUAGAGAUAUCUUUAGUCAAGGAAACAUUGAAACUUCUAUCUUAAUGCAUUUAGCUGUAGCAUCCACCAUCUUUGCAUUCAUUGGAAGCACUUUAGAGAGAGCAAAUUAAAUACAUAAUGACAUGAAGGAGACCAAGCGACUACGCUCUGAUGGAUUUUACUGUAGGCUAGCACCCUGGAAGUGAAAAUUUCCACUUACACUCUUGACCUUGGUCUUAAAAUUCUGCUUUAUGACAUAAAGCUACAGAGCAGGCAGAGACAUUUUAACAUUUUUCUUUUUAAUUGAACUAAGAGCAGGGACGUAAAGAUGGAUAUAAUUCAUAAUAGUGCAAUUGGUAGAACACUGUUUCAAUAUUGCACUUCAAAUAUAAGAGCUCAUGUUGCCUUAGGAAAGUAUUGUAAAAAAUGCAUAAUAACAGGUUAUUGUGUAAUGUGCUGUAAAGCCAUCAAACAAGGGUGUUCCUUUUUCCUUACUACAAACCAGCUCAAUAAUGUGCCUGCAGUCAAAAACCUAUUAGCCACAGUGGAGUGUGCAGAAUGAAACUGAAUGUUUUGCAUUUUCUAAGAUGUAGAAAAAGUUUUUCUAGUAUAUCCACUUAAAGAUUGUUUUGUAAAGUAUGAUGCAUCUAUGCUACAGUAUUACUUAGAAAAAAAUCCAGUUUCAUUGCAUGAACAAGGUUAGAUAAAUGAAUCCAAAUGGACAAGUCAAUGCAUCAAAAAAAAAAGGAAACUUCAAAUAUAAGUUAUUACUUUUGGAAUACUGAUAAUAUAUAUAUGCUAAAAGGGUUCUCUUAAGUCAGUGAAGACCCUCCAGCAGAUUUAUAAAUAAUGAAAGGUUUGUUAAGCCCAAAAGUAACAGCAGGGCUUUCAUUCUUUUUUUUUUUAUUUGAAUGGAAAGGUUUUGUCCGAUUUUAGAAUGUGGUGCACUUUAAGAAGUGACGAUGUGAAAAAGGCACUUUCUUGCAUAGCCAGGUUGCUCUAUCUGGGCGUGCCUACAUGAGGUGCUAUGUUGCCGUAGCAACGAGCUAGGGUGAUAUUGCGCAUCGCUAAAGCAACAAAGAGCUGGCCAUCACUAACCAUGAUGCUGCCGCUACCGUGCAGUAAGGUAAAAAUGACCCGUGCACUGCUGGGACUGUACAGUACUGGGAGGUAUUGUGUGGUCAUUUAGUACUUGGUCCCAGGGAUAUGUCUCAGUUAAAGCAAGUACUAAAUGACUACAACGUACCAACUACGCAGGCAGGGGCACGUGUAGACAUGCCCUGUAUGUAACAAGAAUAUUGACUGACAAGAACAUUUCAUAAAGGGCCCCCCAUUCUUAAUAUUCAUGUUUGCACACAAAAAAUCCUCUGGAGAGAGUUACUGGAUCAGCAGACUAUUACUGAGACUGCUGUAACAUUGCACCAUGGUUACAAUUAACAACUAAUAUCAUUAUAUUAAAAAAUUUACUGUACAAUAUGUCUCUCUCUCAUAUUUGUGACUGCAUGUUAUCAGUCUCACUGUUACCUUGUGUGGUCAGUCAGCCCCCAAUCCUGUGAGCUCUUAUGCACGUGCUCACCUUUACAGAGGGUUUGUCUAGUUACAAAACUACACCACUUGAAUUAUAUCAGUAUAGAUAAAUCAGUACAACCUCCCUUACAUGGAUUCAGUUCUGCCAGUAUAAAUGAGCUUGAAAGGCUGUAGAUAUUCCUUUUCAGUUAUACUAGUGUAAGGUACCUUUCUACCAGGGUAACUGCCUCUCUAUUAUAAAAAGUCAUAGCAGUACAACUUUUAGUGUUAAAAAAAAAGUCACUCUGAACUGAACUAAUUAUCCUGGCACAAAAACUGCAUAUAGCCUAGACCUCAGGAUAUCAUUAAGUACAGGAUAUCAUUAAGUAUUGGUGCUUGUAGAAUUGGGAAAUAAAUCAGCCAAAACAGUGGCCACUAGUGCAAACUCUAGAUAAACAAUCUGAUUUGGAAAGUCAGAGUUUCUUGCAAAUGAAUAUUUUGGACACAUAACCAAAAAUGCCUUUUACGCACUACAUUUCCUCUCUGUGUUUACAAAUCAAAGGUUUUUGAUGCAUCUUUCACGUUUUAACUGGAUUCUGGUAAUUAGCGCCAACAAUUUUAGAUAGGAAGAAUGAUUUGUACCUAGAUCAAAGACGCACAACCAGGUGAUCUCAUGAAUAGUAUCCUUGAUAGUUGUUGGGGAAGAGUGCAACUAGUAUUUAAUGUUCAUUUGGUACUUAUCUAAAACUGAAAAUAUUCAUCAUGAUAUGUAAAUCAGAGUGGAGAAUACAUGCUUUAGAAAUCAUAUAUUCCCAGAUUCAUUAUUAUAGUUGUAAUCUUUUUAGGAAUUUUAGGAGGCUGGGAGCCAAGAUUAACAAGAAGUAUUCAUUUCUUUCCUUUAUUAAAUUGCAAAGUUUAUGCAAAGGGCUGGAAUGACAGUUCUGGAGACCUGAAGUCCCCUAUGUAAUUGAAAAAAAGGUAUUGUAUAAACAGUGGUAUUAUAAGCACUCUCUCACUGCUCCCAAAAUGUCCCUCACUCACACUUUUGAACCAACAAAAAUCCUUAUGGUGGCACAAAGUGAAAGCAAAUAGAUAUUUAUACAUUUUGUUGCACCACAAAUGCACAAAUUAGUGACCAUGACAGAAAGUAAUAAUAAUUUUUGCCAUUUCAUUGCAGCAGAUGCCAUUUGCUUUAUGACAGGAGAGCAUGGACAGCCGAGAGCUGCCUGCACUCUGUAGCCUUCACCGGCAGGGGCUCAGGAGUUUGAAGGGGCUGAUCCUGAACACCCUAGGAAUUCCUAUGUAGGAUUGGGCUCCUUAAAUUCUAGGACAACCCUAGAAAGUCAGGGUUUCCCCACCUACCUAGAUAUGUCCUGGAGAUCCGAGGGAUGUGUCUCAGUUAGCAGGGAAACCUUGAUUUUCCCUGCUGUCACAAAUGCACCCCAGAGAUCCUGUGGGCAUGCUUCAGUAAGCAGGGAAUACUAGGCAGGCACUCCUAGGGCUUGAGGGGCCUGUUCCCGUGUAGGAAUUCUUGAGGGACCAGGACGGUGCCCCUCAAGUCCCAGGAGAACACAGAGCUAAUAAUGAGAAAUUACCAUGGAAAUAAUUACAAGCCACAGAUCCACUCUAAUUUGUGCUUCAUAAAGUAGUGAAAUCAAAGUUUCAGCAUUAGUACUGUAGCACUGAGGCAACAACUGAGACACUUUUGGAGAACUACCCAACAUUUCAGUUUUGUGAAUGAGAAAUUACAAAUCAUUUUUGUGGGAUUUAGUCCUUUAACAACAGUGGUGUUACUGUAUCUAAUUUUUACCAUGCCAGGCCUUUCCUUUUUGUUGGAACAUGCCUUAUGAGGACUUGCUGUAACAUCUGUAAUACCAGUUCCUAAGUAUAACCCUAAAUUAUAAAGAAACAUAAUAUGUGGGAACUGCUACUUUGUGAGUUCAUAAGUAAAAAAGAGGGUUUUUUUUCACGGAGGACAGAAUAUUCUAAUUUUGGGAAGGAUACUGGCCAUAGGCCCUAUUCUAGUUAAACCUCAGAUGGAAGAGAAAAAAGGUGCAAAAUCAAGAUUCAGCAUUUCUACUUUACGCUCUGGCAUCCUUGAAAAUAAAGGGUGCCUGUACAUGAGCGCCUAUACAUGAAAUUGCAGUGUGUGCUGGAGAAUGGCAAUUGCCGCACUCCAGCAGCCUCCUGCGUCUUGUGCAUUAGCAUCCCCACACUUCAAAAUGGCGGGGGUGCUUAAACAAGCUUUAGUUCAAAUGCCCCACCACCAUUUUCAAGUACAGGGAUGCCGAUACAGGAGACGUGGCAGCACUUUAAUUAGAGUGGCUCUCGGAGCUGCUCUGAUUAAAGUGCCACCCCCCUCGCCCCUAGUGCACGUGUAAAAGUGCCCAAAGAACCUGAUCCCAGGAGGGCAAUACAAAGAAAUGAGCUUAGGUUAUUUUGCUGAUAUAGUCCUCAAAACCCACAAAACCCAACAACUUAGUCUACCCAAUACAAAAGCUUGAAUUCCUGCCCCUCUCUGGAAUAUAGGUACCUGUCCAAAAUUAUACAUUAGGUACCUCUGUCCACUCUGAGAUUCAGAGUACUAAUCCUGAAGGUAGGAAUCCACCUUUUGUGUUAUAGCCUAGUGUUUAGCAUGCUCACCCAGGAAAUGGGAAACCUGGUUUCUCAGCCCAUUGACUUUGAGGUGACUCUGCACAGGUACAUGAAUCUCUGCAUGAACAACAUAUUGCAGAAUAUGGGGCAUGAGUGUGGGGGAGGUAAGAAAUCUAGUAGUAUAAAUGGCUUCUUCACUGGAGAACUAUAGAACUAUCACUUACUAUCAUUAUUUUAUCAUUUUCCUAUGGCUCAGGGUUUGGUUUGGUUUGGUUUUUUAUUAAGCUGCCUAGGGCUGGCCCAAUUGCUAAUAAACUGUAUUCAUUGUUAGCCCAUUGCUAAUGAACUGGAUGCAUGCUCUCUCUAACUUUAGUCUAUUUUAAUCACGUGUGAUCUAUUUUUUGAAAAGUUAAUGUUAUUACUACUUUAUUUUACUUGUGUAUUCUUUUUCUUCACUGUAAUGGUAAAAAUAUCCUUUUGGUCCUAUAGAACCACAAAUAUCCUUUGCACUGGCCUUAAAAUAUAGGCAUAGCUAUUCUGCUUGGACAGGAGAGGUCUCCCAUAAAUAGCAAGCCUGUUUGUUUAGGGGUGGUUUUGUUAGGUGGAGAAAAGGAGAGACAUUUCAAGACCGUUUUGUAUCAGCAGAUAUUUAGGCUCAGAAAUAUCUUUAUCCACUUUGGGAAUGCACUUCCUGUUUUGACUUGUACUCUAAGUAUAUAUAAUUUUUAAAUUACAGGUUUACGUCAAGAGAACAAUUUAGUCAAGUAUUACUUUCUUCAGAGAACACAUCCUUAUUGUUGCACAUAAAUUAUGGAAUGUGUGCAGGCUUAAAGAAUGUAUGAAACUACUAAAACAUCUGAUCAGUUUUACAGCUGCUCGGCAGCAAACAGCUCUGUCAGGAAGCUGCUAAAACAGAGGGCACUUUUACAUGUGCUUCUGGGGCGGAGGGGCAGUGCUUUAAUUACAGUGGCUGCCUGAGCUGCUGUAAUUAAGGUGCCUCAGUGCCUCGUGUAUUAGUGUCCCCACACUUCAAAAUGGCACUGGGAGUGCUUGAAUUAAAGCUUUUUCAACAAGCUUUAGUUCAAGGGCCCCCGCCACCAUUCUGAAGUGUGGGGAUGCUAAUACAUGAGAUGCAAGAGGCUGCUGGAUUAACUGAGUCUGCUCCAACACACUGGAUGUCCUUGCGCUGUCACCUGCCACUACUGAGAACAGUCUCGCUACAUCCUCUUUGGAACCAGCCUUCAGGUAGUUGAAGGCUGCUAUCAAAUCCCCCCUCAAUGCACCACUUUGAAGCACAGGGAUGCUAAUACACAAGACACAGGAGGCUGCUGGAGCAUGGUAAUUACCAUGCUGCAGCAGAUUCGAUUAAUUGAGGCUGCUCCAAUGCGCUGUAAUUACUACUCCCUCUGUGCUCAUGUACAGGCACCCAGAGAGAAGAAUGAGUUACAACUGAACUGGGAGAAAAGGGUAGCGUUUUGGAGAACCCAGACCAGGUAUCAUGUUCUCAACAUUUAAAGAUUUCCAUAUCUAUCUUAGGGGAAAAGAUCUGGAUAGAGAUCAUUUUUAUGCUCUCCAGUUCAAGGAAUUAAAUAGAUGAUCUUACUAGGUGCUGUUGUAUCAGUCAGAGUUUGGAUUAGUCACUUUUCCUCCAGUAAUUAGACAUUUGGCCUCUGUCUACUGAGGUUAGGUCAUGUAUUAACACCAGGUCAUUCCCUCAUUUAAAGUCUCCCAUGUUGUUGGUUCUUUGAGAUCCUUUCCUUGGGAUAGAAUAGCCAUGGCCCUGAGGCAAACUGUGCCACAAACUCACACCUACGAGGCACUGUGCCAGGGUGGGCAACCCAAGAAUUUAUUUAUUUUUGCUGACAAUCUGCACACUUUUUACUGACAUAUUCUUUUACUGAUAUGUUUUACAUGGUGUAAAUAUAACCCAUCUUCCAGGCCCUGGAUAACAGUAAAAAGGGCCAGGUUCAAAUUAAGGGGUCUAACACCAGCUUUCUAAAUCUGGCCAUGCAGAAUCUAAAUCCCCCAUGCAGAAACAUGAGAAAAUACAUUUUAACUGGGUGUUACAAACUGAACACAUUUCUCUACUCGCAAGCAACAUUCAAAUAAAAUAGGGUUUAUUAUAGGGAGAAAAAAUGAUAAGCACACAACCUGUGAGAAAAUCUUAACCAUUGAAUAUUAAUUGAACGCAAAACAACCCAGGGCAGCUAUCCCCUAGCCCAGUCUGUUGCAAAGAGACUCACCCAGGGCUGCUGUGCAGGGGCUCUACCACCUUAUCAGUCUUGCUUGACUGCAGCAAUGGUUUCAUACUGUGAUUCCCCUCCUCAGCCAACCCCCCACCCCCUUACCCCUCCAGCCCUGAUCUCCCCAUCCCAGAAUGGACCACGACCUGCCACAUCUCCUUCCCCACAACUUACCCAUUCUGGCUGUGCCACCCCUGCUCCCUAUCCUGCCUGGUACCUCAGACUGCCUGGGGUUGUGCUGCCUGCAAGGCUAGCAGCUGUUAAAGGCAGGUGACAGGUGAAGGGACAUAAUGGUAGUAAAUACCUGGGG